GUUGUCAAUGCGAGCUUUGAAGAGAAGUACCUUGGUUUUCCUACUCCAAAUGGCCGGUUAUCUAAAGGGAAAUUGAAGAGCGUUCAACAGCAACUUACCAAGAGAAUAAUCCAAUGGGGGGAGCUCAUGUCUCAGGCGGGAAGAGAGGUCCUUAUAAAGGCCGUAGCACAAGCCCUUCCGACGUUCCUUAUGAGCAUUUUCAAGUUCCCAAGAAGCACAUGCGAUGACCUUGCACGCAUGAUCCGUAGCUACUGGUGGGGCGCAUACAGAGGGAAGAGGAAGACGCACUGGAAGGCUUGGGAUCACUUGCUGCGGCCAAAAGCUGCUGGUGGGAUGGGUUUCAAGGAUUUUAGGAUGUUCAAUCAAGCCUUGUUGGCAAGGCAAGCUUGGAGAUUGCUG
This 399-nucleotide ribosomal RNA is filed under the name Triticum aestivum (bread wheat). RNAcentral's name for it is "partial small subunit ribosomal RNA". Lineage: Eukaryota; Viridiplantae; Streptophyta; Magnoliopsida; Poales; Poaceae. The record is from RNAcentral.